AGAAAGUUAGUCUAACCAAGAUAGUUGAUUUCGACUCAACAGAUUAUAGUUAUAACCCUAUAACUUUCUU
RNAcentral lists this transfer RNA (70 nucleotides) under Oedistoma pygmaeum. Its description in RNAcentral is "tRNA-Arg". It matches the Rfam family "tRNA". Rfam says of the family: Transfer RNA (tRNA) molecules are approximately 80 nucleotides in length. Their secondary structure includes four short double-helical elements and three loops (D, anti-codon, and T loops). Lineage: Eukaryota; Metazoa; Chordata; Aves; Passeriformes; Melanocharitidae. The record is from RNAcentral.